UGAAAGUGGCCAAUCUCUUUUGAUCUUGGAAGCUAAGCA
Cricetulus griseus (Chinese hamster) is the source of this 39-nucleotide ribosomal RNA. The record is from Ensembl. NCBI's taxonomy places the organism in Eukaryota, Metazoa, Chordata, Mammalia, Rodentia, Cricetidae.